Molecule: transfer RNA, 93 nt
Filed under: Aspergillus sydowii CBS 593.65
Lineage: Eukaryota; Fungi; Ascomycota; Eurotiomycetes; Eurotiales; Aspergillaceae
Rfam family: tRNA
About the family: Transfer RNA (tRNA) molecules are approximately 80 nucleotides in length. Their secondary structure includes four short double-helical elements and three loops (D, anti-codon, and T loops).
Source: Rfam by way of RNAcentral
GCCCUUAUAGAUCAGUGGUAGAUCGUUGCACUUGUAUCCACGAAAAUGGAAAAAGUCAUGCAAAGGUCCGUCGUUCAAUCCGGCGUGGGGGCA